Neoarius graeffei (lesser salmon catfish) is the source of this 634-nucleotide long non-coding RNA. RefSeq lists it as uncharacterized. NCBI's taxonomy places the organism in Eukaryota, Metazoa, Chordata, Actinopteri, Siluriformes, Ariidae. The record is from RefSeq and is a predicted model, not a curated record. The transcript is spliced from 3 exons.
CUUGUGUGUGACGCAGGCCAGGAGUGGGUAUAAAACCAGCGUGUCUGCAGCAUUCUGCAUCUGUCUUUCGACUGAAGAACAUUGGAUAUUUUGUGGGAAAAAUGUAAAAACUUUCAGUUCAAAGUUUAGAAAAUGGGACCCAAGAAGAAGCGAGCAAAAGUGAAGUAACCCAGCCUGAAACAGCAGAGGGGGAGGAGGAGGAAGAAUUUGAUGAUGGUAGCAGCACCGGCGAGCCCUGCACGGACAGGGAGAAGUUUGCCUUCAAGCCGGCAGAAGGCACAGCACCCCGCCAGAGGGAUUUCCACAGUUAACGACACCCAGAAGUGAGGACAGUGCAAUCCCAUCAUCGCUGUCAGGCCAUUGUGCCAUGCUCAGUGAUGAGGACAAGGACAUCCCGACACCCCGUCCCACCACUCAGCAGGAGCAGGACAACAGCUCGGAGUCAAAAUUCUUCAAAGUAUCCAGUGUUUCCCUUGAUGACGCUUUGCACACUAUUGGCGUUCUCUUAACCAACUUCAUGAGGGAGUCACCUGGAAUGCUUUUCAAUUAACAGGUGUGUCUCGUCAAAAGGUCAGUGGACGAGUUUCUUGUCUUCUUAAUGUGUUUGAGAUCAGUCAAGUUUAUUCUUAUCACG